RNAcentral lists this ribosomal RNA (253 nucleotides) under uncultured bacterium. RNAcentral describes it as "partial 16S ribosomal RNA". It matches the Rfam family "Bacterial small subunit ribosomal RNA", at positions 524 to 776 of the family's 1533-position model. The record is from RNAcentral.
UACGGGGGGGGCAAGCGUUGUUCGGAAUUACUGGGCGGAAAGGGCUCGUAGGGGGCCAACUAAGUCAGACGUGAAAUCCCUCGGCUUAACCGGGGAACUGCGUCUGAUACUGGAUGGCUUGAGUUCGGGAGAGGGAUGCGGAAUUCCAGGUGUAGCGGUGAAAUGCGUAGAUAUCUGGAGGAACACCGGUGGCGAAGGCGGCAUCCUGGACCGACACUGACACUGAGGAGCGAAAGCCAGGGGAGCAAACGGG